ACCUCAGCAAAAUGAACCCAGCAGUUUCACGUCUUCUCUGCCUGCGGCGGCCGGGCUAUAGAGGAGUAUGUGGCCGAUUUUUGUGAGUCCCGCAGCACCUACCAAGCCACAGUCUGCUAAUGUCAUGCCUGCUAUGCCAAAGCCUGCUCACAUAAUGUCUGCCAAGCCACAGCCUGCUCACGUCAU
Molecule: long non-coding RNA, 186 nt
Organism: Sinocyclocheilus rhinocerous
Lineage: Eukaryota; Metazoa; Chordata; Actinopteri; Cypriniformes; Cyprinidae
Exons: 3
Source: RefSeq, a predicted model, not a curated record